GCUAUAUUUGUAAGAAAUAAAUUUAUGAAGAUGUGAAAAAAAUGAUCUUGUUUGAAUCGGGAGAGAAAUAUGCACGGAUCAAACAUGGUUCACAGAAACUGUUCAAAAUAAUAUAUACAUUUUUCAAAAUCUGUUCAGAUGAAGAAACAUCAUCAUCUACAUCUUGGAUGGCCCGAGGUACUUUAGGCUUAGGAGUUUCUUCACAACUGAACCCCAGGUUUUAUGAUCCAGGAUAGCGAUGCCGCCUUCGCAGGAGGAGGGAAAGAUGGAGCAUCCUUAUGGCAGGUCCAAUUUAUUAUGUCAUGUCUUAUAUUCAGUACACUUUUAUAUCUGUAUUUUGCUUCUCUAGAACAACAAUACACGAACUGUCACUAUGACUGACAAAUCAAUAAUGAGCAUGUUGUGUAUCUUACGGUGUAUUUUUUUAAUUUCUUCUCCGAAGCUGUAGGUUUCUUGCAUCUCAAGGACGGCGGGACACAGGCGGUCUUUUGUAUGCAGGUGUAAUGAGAGUCUCCCACACCCUGUUUCCCUAUCCAUCUCUUGCUUUGAGUUUGUGACUGGAAAACUAAGCAGAGAUUCACCUCAAAGGACAAUUAAAUUUCCCUUUAGAUGGCUUCAGUUAUAGAGGUUCCUCUCAGCCAAGGGCUUGCUUGCUUGGUAACUAAAUGGGAACGUAUACAAACUCUGUUUUUCCUCCCUCCCCGUCUCCAUUCACACAAUCUCUCUUUCUUUUCUGGCCAAGAGGUUCAAUGUGCCAUCUCCCAAAAGCAAUUGAGCAGCGCCGCAGCAAUACUGCCCAUAACUAGCCGGUAGGGAAAGCGUCCAGAAGAUAUAACAGUAGUCUAUCUUCCCGCUGGGCACCAGAGUUUUAUUAAAAUUAAGGUUAAAAGUCCAGUCAUUUCGAAGAUGGCUGGAAACUCAAAUUAAAUUGACCAAAGGGGAUUCAAUUACAAAAAAAAGAACAAAAAUUCCAUGACACUACCAAGUUUUGGAUUAGAAAGUG
Molecule: long non-coding RNA, 1003 nt
Organism: Cyprinus carpio carpio
Lineage: Eukaryota; Metazoa; Chordata; Actinopteri; Cypriniformes; Cyprinidae
Source: Ensembl